GAUGAACGCUAGCUACAGGCUUAACACAUGCAAGUCGAGGGGAAACGAUAUUGGAAGCUUGCUUCCGAUAGGCGUCGACCGGCGCACGGGUGAGUAACGCGUAUCCAACCUGCCCACCACUUGGGGAUAACCUUGCGAAAGUAAGACUAUUACCCAACGACGUCCAUAGAAGACAUCGUAAAUGGAGUCAAGAUUUAUUGGUGAUGGAUGGGGAUGCGUCGGAUUAGCUUGUUUGCGGGGUAACGGCCCACCAGGGCGACGAUCAGUAGGGGUUCUGAGAGGAAGGUCCCCCACAUUGGAACUGAGACACGGUCCAAACUCCUACGGGAGGCAGCAGUGAGGAAUAUUGGUCAAUGGGCGAGAGCCUGAACCAGCCAAGUAGCGUGCAGGAUGACGGCCCUAUGGGUUGUAAACUGCUUUUAUAAGGGAAUAAAGUGAGCCUCGUGAGGCUUUUUGCAUGUACCUUAUGAAUAAGGACCGGCUAAUUCCGUGCCAGCCGCCGCAGUAA
This 508-nucleotide ribosomal RNA is filed under the name uncultured bacterium. RNAcentral describes it as "partial 16S ribosomal RNA". It matches the Rfam family "Bacterial small subunit ribosomal RNA", at positions 28 to 523 of the family's 1533-position model. The record is from RNAcentral.